Helianthus annuus (common sunflower) is the source of this 466-nucleotide long non-coding RNA. RefSeq lists it as uncharacterized. NCBI's taxonomy places the organism in Eukaryota, Viridiplantae, Streptophyta, Magnoliopsida, Asterales, Asteraceae. The record is from RefSeq and is a predicted model, not a curated record. The transcript has 3 exons.
AUGAAUUGUGGGUGAAGUGUGGGUGUGCGACGCUGGGAACGAUCAGGAAGGGUAAACCCCUUUUUCUUCUCUAGUUCCUCAAAUCUCUAACAAAUUGAAGGUGUUUCUGGGCAUAAAUCGAAUGCAUGUGACCAAAUUUUCAACCAUCUAAGGGUUUCCUACAUAGGUAGUGAAAGAAGAAGGAGCUAAUUCCGGUUCGCAACAAAAGGCUCAAGAACGAGGUAAAUCCUUGACUUCAUAGCUUGGCGACUCGGAACGAACACACUCGAUAUCACGCCCAUCUAGCGCUUCCGAAGAUGUCACAUUAGUAUGGUCUUAGUUUUGGUCAUAUGUAUUUUAACAUAUGUAAUCUUUUUGGUGUCCUUGUGAAUUGGGUAAAAAAUUGGUUAGUAAGUAGCUAUUGUAUUAAAACAACUUAAACAUGUUGGUUUUGCUUUAGUUUAUGAAAAUGGGUCUUUUAAGUUAA